Molecule: ribosomal RNA, 492 nt
Filed under: Variovorax sp. CL6.18
Lineage: Bacteria; Pseudomonadati; Pseudomonadota; Betaproteobacteria; Burkholderiales; Comamonadaceae
Description: bacterial SSU rRNA
Rfam family: Bacterial small subunit ribosomal RNA
Source: RNAcentral
CCCUGGCUCAGAUUGAACGCUGGCGGCAUGCCUUACACAUGCAAGUCGAACGGCAGCGCGGGAGCAAUCCUGGCGGCGAGUGGCGAACGGGUGAGUAAUACAUCGGAACGUGCCCAAUCGUGGGGGAUAACGCAGCGAAAGCUGUGCUAAUACCGCAUACGAUCUACGGAUGAAAGCAGGGGAUCGCAAGACCUUGCGCGACUGGAGCGGCCGAUGGCAGAUUAGGUAGUUGGUGAGGUAAAGGCUCACCAAGCCUGCGAUCUGUAGCUGGUCUGAGAGGACGACCAGCCACACUGGGACUGAGACACGGCCCAGACUCCUACGGGAGGCAGCAGUGGGGAAUUUUGGACAAUGGGCGCAAGCCUGAUCCAGCCAUGCCGCGUGCAGGAUGAAGGCCUUCGGGUUGUAAACUGCUUUUGUACGGAACGAAAAGGUCUUCUCUAAUAAAGAGGGCUCAUGAACGGUACCGUAAGAAUAAGCACCGGCUAACUA